RNAcentral lists this ribosomal RNA (446 nucleotides) under uncultured bacterium. RNAcentral describes it as "partial 16S ribosomal RNA". It matches the Rfam family "Bacterial small subunit ribosomal RNA", at positions 338 to 795 of the family's 1533-position model. The record is from RNAcentral.
CCUACGGGGUGCAGCAGUCGAGAAUCAUUCACAAUGGGGGAAACCCUGAUGGUGCGACGCCGCGUGGGGGAAUGAAGGUCUUCGGAUUGUAAACCCCUGUCAUGUGGGAGCAAAUUAAAAAGAUAGUACCACAAGAGGAAGAGACGGCUAACUCUGUGCCAGCAGCCGCGGGAAUACAGAGGUCUCAAGCGUUGUUCGGAAUCAUUGGGCGUAAAGCGUGCGUAGGCUGUUUCGUAAGCCGUGUGUGAAAGGCGCGGGCUCAACCCGCGGACGGCACAUGAUACUGCGAGACUAGAGUAAUGGAGGGGGAACCGGAAUUCUCGGUGUAGCAGUGAAAUGCGUAGAUAUCGAGAGGAACACUCGUGGCGAAGGCGGGUUCCUGGACAUUAACUGACGCUGAGGCACGAAGGCCAGGGGAGCGAAAGGGAUUAGAUACCCUUGUAGUC